GGACUUCCGGCCGGCGCCGCCUGCGAAGGGCUCGGCGGCCGGCGGAGACGCGGGUGGCCGGUGAUGGCCGCGGAGGGGGCCGGCUGGGGCCCGGCCCAUGGAGGCAGACGGAAGGCGGUGGCCGAAGAGCCGCGCCCCUUGUCGAGCGCAUGCUGUGCGCUCCGCGCCUGUCUUUCCCGCCGCCGCCGCCUGCCUGCCAGGCUCACAGUGCAUCUCAGAUUGGACUGGCUACAUUUCAAGAGCUCAGAGGCAGAAGAGAAUUCCACAUCAAGUAGUGGAAAGGGCCCCAGCAUGCCCGGUACCAGUGCUCGGCCCUGGGGAUAUAACAGUGACUGUGCCAGAUGGGACAUCUGCCCUCACAGAAGUCACAGUCAACCUGUGAGAACGGGCUUAAGAGGGCAACUCCAACAUUGAUGAGGUGCACAACCUUGGGUGGAGGAGGAGCCGUGAGCCAUGGAAUGCAGAAAGCCUCUGGAGGCUAGAAAAGGCCUGGAAACAGAUUUCCUCCUAGCACUUCCAGAAAGCCUGCAGCCCUGCUGACACCUGACCUCUAGGGCCGUAAGAGCAUCAAUGUAUGGUGUUUCAGGCCACCAAGGGGGUGGUCAUUUGUCACAGUGGCCUCGAGGAACUAACACACCUGCCGUGGGGAAUGAGCACAUAAAAGAAUUUGUCUUGAACCCAAGACAAAUUUAGAUGAGAGACUGAUUUUGUGUAUUUACUUACUUAUUUAUUUAUUUACUUACUUGAAGGAAGAGAACCAGAGGCAAAGGUGGUGUACACACUUCAAAGGAUGGAGACAUAUCGGCAGGAGGCUGUGAAGACAACCCGGGGCAGGGGAUGGGGUCUGAAAAUGGAGAGGAGGAGUCCAGAUGUGUAUGAGGUGGGAUCAGUGGGAACGGGUGGCCAGUGAGAUGUGGAAAAGGAGGUGCCCUGAUUUGUUAGACCCAGUGACGGAGGUGGAGGAGGGGGGAGUGGUGUGGCAUUUGAACCAUUUCCAGGGCUCUGAAUAUGGGUGGGGGCUCUUCUGGGGGACACAAGAAAUGGGCUUCUCUGUCAGGUGAGCCGUUUGCUGGCCAGCUCCCAAACAGGCAUCAAAGCAGACGCUCAUUAUGAGGGCAGAAGCCGGGCGGGCCUGAACAAGCCCAGAGAGCCUUCUGGCACUCAUGCGCUUUGCAGUCUGAGCUGCAAUCUGAUUCCAUCUCAAGUGCCCAAUAGGUCAGUUGUGUCAAGAAACAGGAAGCUUUAUUUAUUUUUCCUUAGGCAGCAACAUGUAUUUUCAGGGCAGCAGUUUGGAGUUCCUGUCCCCAUGCCAAGGGGACUGGCCCCUUCCAGGUGUGAGUCACCUUGGUUCCUAUUUGUGCACAUCUCCGACCUGAAGGACCCGGCCCUGGAGGAGACAUGGAAAUGCAGGGCUUGCUUUCAGGAAGCAGGCCAGGGACUCUCGGAUUUGCCGUGGUCUACCUGCAAGGUGGCUCCCACCUGGCCAUGAUGUGCUGGGGCAGGAGCACCAAGGCCGAGUAUUUGUGUUACCAGGUCCUGCCCCACCCUGCAACACCCAUGCUCCCUGGAUCGCAAAGGCUUCAAACCUCCCAGCUCCCCAGACAAAAUAGCCAAAAGCACACCCAGCAGCAUUUCUCAGAGCGCCUUGUGCACACUGAACUCUGCACAUGUGCAACCGAGAACAAGUUGGGUAGAUGGAACAAGACAGGUGUUAUCAGUUUCUUAAGAGCUCACGCAAAUUGAUAAGAACCAAAGGAGCAAAGAUCAGAAACAGUCCGCAGGAGGAGAGAGUCAACAAACCUCAGAGUGGGUCUACCGAGUCAUCAAGGAGGGGCCCAAGGGUAAGGGCUAGUCAAGGUGUAGAUCAUUCCAGCGCUGCUGGAACCCCCAGCACUGGCUUUCCUCCGGGGUGGCAGAUGUGUUAAGUUGGAAAGACACCCAUCAGAAGACACCUGCCCAGCACAGAAAAAGGUUCAUCGUGGUUGUACCACUGACAGUAAUCCUGAGCCACCCAUGGAGGGGCUGUUUGCUGGCAGAUGUUUCUCAUAGUCUGCAGUGAGUUACCUUCAGCUUAGCACUGAUCUAAAUGCCCAGAGAUGAGGCUGGCUUAAUGAAUCGCACAUCUGCUAGAAAGGAUGGGGAGGAGGUCACAGCCAUAUGGAGUAAGAGUGGCUCCCAGCCUCCAGGCUGACCACCAUGUGGAUGCCGUUCGUGUUUUUAAGAUUUUUAUUUUUAUCUUUAUUUAUUUAUUUUUUUAAGUAGGCCCCACUCCCAGCACGGAGUCCAGCACAGGGCUUGGAACUCACGACCCUGAGCUUAAGACCUGAGCUGAGAUCAAGAGUUGGACUCAUAACCAACCGUGCCGCCCAGAUGCCCCAUGUUUGGGUGCCGUUCAGUCCUCAUGGUAAGCCUCUGAGCUAGGGCCUGUUAGCCCCAUUUUACGGGAGGAUCAAGUGGGCCCAAGGUCACACAUUCCCAGAGGAUGGCAGGGAGGGGCCAGGGGAUGGGGCCACAGGGCCAAACAGCUCCCACGGGCCCAGAAUUGCACCUACAGGGCCCUCCCCUUGAGGGUGAAAGAAUGGAGGGGGAGAGUGGAGAAAGGAGCAGCCUUGCCAGCACUGAGAGGCCCCAGCCCCAGCCCCAAGGGGGUGGUCAGGAGGAAAUAAGAUGCAGAUAAGAACUGUGGGGGUGGGUCUAGGAGAGAGGAGUGGUCCUACGAGAAGGUUUGCAUGGACCACUGUGGAGAAGGAGAGCCUGGCUGGCUGGGGGGUCAUGGGUUCAUGGUGGCAUCUCUGGGGUGUUAUUUCCACUCCCCUGUUCAACCCAGGGCCAGUGGUUUUGGAUGGCUGACUUUGGAGGCAAGGGGCCACCCUCAGUGUGUAGUGGAAGCACUAGGUCCACAUGAAUGAGGGGAGAAACCAAGGUCAUGUCUUUUUUUUUUUUUAAUUUAUUUUUUAUUGGUGUUCAAUUUACCAACAUACAGAAUAACCCCCAGUGCCCGUCACCCAUUCACUCCCACCCCCCGCCCUCCUCCCC
This is a long non-coding RNA of Canis lupus familiaris (dog), 3036 nucleotides long. RefSeq lists it as uncharacterized. The transcript has 5 exons. The record is from RefSeq and is a predicted model, not a curated record. Lineage: Eukaryota; Metazoa; Chordata; Mammalia; Carnivora; Canidae.